Ictidomys tridecemlineatus (thirteen-lined ground squirrel) is the source of this 131-nucleotide small nucleolar RNA. The record is from Ensembl. Lineage: Eukaryota; Metazoa; Chordata; Mammalia; Rodentia; Sciuridae.
UAGGCCCUGAAUCAAGACCAAUGUUUGCUGUAGCUGUUGGUUUCAAAUGGGAGCCAAGAGAUAACUUCCCUUGGUCUGUUGGCUAUUCAGUAUCUCAGUGGGAAUGGCCAAUUCAUUUGGAAGAAAUGUGG